GUGGGAAGAGAUUUGUAGUUAAGGUGAGAAAAGAAAAGAAAAGAAGUCAAACCGACGCCACACAAGAGAGAACAGAAAAUUAAAACGCUAAUGAAGGAGCUCAAAGCCUUAACAGGCGGUACGAGAGAAAAGCAAUUAUAUCAGUUAACCAAAGUUUGUCUGACAGGCAGUAUUAGAAAUGAAUUAAGAAGAAAACAGUAACAACGUCAUCCCAUAUUCAACCAAGAUGGAUAAAUUUU
This 239-nucleotide long non-coding RNA is filed under the name Mytilus galloprovincialis (Mediterranean mussel). The record is from RNAcentral. Lineage: Eukaryota; Metazoa; Mollusca; Bivalvia; Mytilida; Mytilidae.